RNAcentral lists this long non-coding RNA (1119 nucleotides) under Nothobranchius furzeri (turquoise killifish). Its description in RNAcentral is "lncRNA (ENSNFUG00015001510.1)". The record is from RNAcentral. Lineage: Eukaryota; Metazoa; Chordata; Actinopteri; Cyprinodontiformes; Nothobranchiidae.
AUGCCUAUUGUUUGUCCGUACCUUUACCUGCUCCCUCUACAGCAGAUCUACACAAUGCAGCCCCACNAGGUUCAUCCCCCCGCCCAGUACCCCCCACCUUCAGUGUCUCCUCCAUACAACCACCAGACUGUUGUUAGUGAGCCCCCUUGUCCAGCUGAACCCCCCCAUCCCUCUGAGCCCCCCUUCAACCCUCCUCUUUACCAGGGGGUCACCCAGCCCUCACCCGUGCCCCACAGAAUGCCCUGCCCCCCUAUGUACUGGCAGCAGGGGCCUCCACCCAGAAACCCCAGCUAUCCAGUGGAAUAUCCUUCCCCUCCUCCCCCAUACUCGGGCCCCCCUCCCUCAUCUCAAGGGUACCACCAAGGUCAAGGUCUGGUCCACUCCCUGUACCCCUCAUCUGGACCCCAGUACCCCCCAUUCUCUUUGGGAUACCAGUCCUCACCGACCCCCGAGGAGCUCCAGGUCAACCAGAGGGCCAUGGAGCUUCUUCAGCCUGCUAACGGGGACUCCAUGCCAGGUCACGGACACAUCAGAGUCCUGGGUCACAUGGAGGGUCCUGCUGCUGCUAAUGUGGCUAAUGCUAAUAAUAACCGAGCCAUUUUGGUUCCUCCUAAUUAUGGUUAUGAAAGCAAAUAUUCUCCAUCAGUUCUGAAGGAGGUGCUGCUGGUGGAUCCCCCGCUCAAUAAUACUCCCAUACUCACUCUGGUUUCACACUCUGACAUUAAGGAUGUCUCUGUCUCCAAGGCAACAAUGAAGGCCGGCAGCAUCCCCGGCUCUCCGUCCAACUUCCGGGGCCCCCGGAAACAGCAGCACCCCCCUUCCAAAACCUACGUCCCGCCGGGUGCUCCGGAUCCCAGCCAGCUGGGUUACCCGGCAACCGCGGCCAUGGCGGAGCAGCUGUCGGUGGCGUGCAGCACGGAGGACGAUUGGGAGGCGGAGGGGUUCACUAUGAGCUACUCUGGGAGGAAGCCAUACCGAGGACGGGGGGGAAGAGGGAGGGGCGGCUACGAUGCAGGGAGGGGGGCACAGAGGAGACGUCAUGGAGAGGUUGGGGCGGGGCUUAACUAUGUUCAGUUUAACUCGUCCCAUAGGGGACGGGGCCGUGAGAGGGGCUAUUAG